GCCAGGGGCUGUGCGUCUGCUCAGGGCUGUGCAGCCCAAACGGCACUGCGGAGCCCACACAAAGUGGUAUUGCAGUGUUGGCUGAGGAAAAGCAAACAGCUGUCCAUUUCCAUUUAGUGUGGCUGGAACUGGCCAUACAGAUUUUAUUAUAUGCUCUGCAACAGCUCUCCAGACAUUUUGAAAGUUCUUUUCCUGUCCAUGCUUCCGUCAUUGCUUUAUUUUCCUCUCUACCAUAAAGCACUGGUUUCUAGGAAGCAGGGCCCUUCAUAAUGGGAAAAAAAGGCAUUAUUGAGUCACACCUGCCAUUUUAUAGCAAGGUGCCCACUGCCUGGCUGAGCUUACUGCUCUGUGCACAGGAGCAGGGGGACACGGGUGAGAUCUCCUUGUGGAUGGGGGUUCUGGUGGGUGUCCCCAGGAUGGAGCCAGGUGCCCCUGGGCCUGGGGAAGCGUGGCUGGAGCCAUCCCCUCUGCAGGAGACACGGCCACGAGCCUUUUAAGCACUGGAUUUAUUCGUGUGUGUGGUGACUGCGGCUCCACUCAGUGCAAACAGCGGCGUGCUGAAGGGCGGGCAAGGGCUGCGAGAUGGCUGUGUUUAGAGAAAGUCAUAAUAACCAGGGCUCCUAUCCUCUGCUACAAUUUAUUAUCAAAACAAAGCGGCCCCAAGUAUAAAUACAUUGUCUUUAAUAAAAUGCUUUUGAACAUAUCUGACAUACUUAUAUUCAAAGUGGCCCUUUUAUCUUCUGCAGUGGACCGAAGUGAGGGCUGAGUCCCCGUGCAUCCCUGUGAGCAUCGGGGCCGGUGCCCAGCGAGCUGCCGUGGAGCACUGGGGCCACGCAGCGGGGAGGGCUGGGGGGCUCAGAGCAAACGCCCUGGUGCACACCGGGUGCCUGCACCUUCCAGCGGAAGCACUGUGUCAGCGGUGCGAGAACCUGGGAGCAGGCCCAGCACCGUGCACAGUUUUAGAUUGAUGCUGUGUUGGGUGAACUUGGGCUCCCGUGGGCACCCGUCUGCCAGCGUGGUGUGGUGUGGGCAGUGAGGGACAGCACUGCCGCAGUGCCAAAGGUCUCUGAUUGUGCUGGUGAAACCACCAAAUGUGUUCAGUGGCUCAUGCGGCUCCCACGCUUCCUGGGGGAGAAACGUGGCGAGGAAUAAAAGCAGCAUCUGUUAAUUUAUAACCACAGUUCUCAGUGAGACGGCAGCGGGUUGGGAAUGCACGAGGAGCGUCACAAGGAGCAGGGCUGGGCCGCUCACCUCCAGGUCCUUGGAAUAUGAACCACACAGCGCAGCUCCACAGAUGCUGUCCUCGUAAGGGGGC
Molecule: long non-coding RNA, 1315 nt
Filed under: Pavo cristatus (Indian peafowl)
Lineage: Eukaryota; Metazoa; Chordata; Aves; Galliformes; Phasianidae
Description: lncRNA (ENSPSTG00000002473.1)
Source: RNAcentral